AUUGCUUCUUGGCCUUUUGGCUAAGAUCAAGUGUAGUAUCUCUUCUUACCAGUUUAAUAUCUGAUAUGUCCUCUGUCCAAGGAUGAUGUAUUAAAUGAAUUUUUGAAGCAGGGAGAUGGCAUAGGAGCUUGCCUUGUCUACUCCACGCAUCCACCUGCUAUUGCAGUUCUCCUUCAGGGGGAUAACUGAG
Equus asinus (donkey) is the source of this 190-nucleotide small nuclear RNA. Its record names the gene U2. It matches the Rfam family "U2 spliceosomal RNA". Rfam says of the family: U2 is a small nuclear RNA (snRNA) component of the spliceosome (involved in pre-mRNA splicing). NCBI's taxonomy places the organism in Eukaryota, Metazoa, Chordata, Mammalia, Perissodactyla, Equidae. The record is from Ensembl.